Molecule: ribosomal RNA, 498 nt
Filed under: uncultured bacterium
Lineage: Bacteria
Description: partial 16S ribosomal RNA
Rfam family: Bacterial small subunit ribosomal RNA
Source: RNAcentral
AUUGAACGCUGGCGGCAUGCCUUACACAUGCAAGUCGAACGGUAACAGGUCUUCGGAUGCUGACGAGUGGCGAACGGGUGAGUAAUACAUCGGAACGUGCCUAGUAGUGGGGGAUAACUACGCGAAAGAGUGGCUAAUACCGCAUGAGAUCUACGGAUGAAAGCAGGGGAUCGCAAGACCUUGCUCUAAUAGAGCGGCCGAUGGCAGAUUAGGUAGUUGGUGGGAUAAAAGCUUACCAAGCCGACGAUCUGUAGCUGGUCUGAGAGGAAGAUCAGCCACACUGGGACUGAGACACGGCCCAGACUCCUACGGGAGGCAGCAGUGGGGAAUUUUGGACAAUGGGCGAAAGCCUGAUCCAGCAAUGCCGCGUGCAGGAUGAAGGCCUUCGGGUUGUAAACUGCUUUUGUACGGAACGAAAAGCCCCGGGUUAAUACCCUGGGGUCAUGACGGUACCGUAAGAAUAAGCACCGGCUAACUACGUGCCAGCCGCCGCCGUAA